This is a regulatory RNA element of Blautia sp. CAG:257, 126 nucleotides long. It matches the Rfam family "azaaromatic riboswitch aptamer (yjdF RNA)". Lineage: Bacteria; Bacillati; Bacillota; Clostridia; Lachnospirales; Lachnospiraceae. The record is from Rfam.
AAAUGCAAAGAUAAAAACGCAAUGCACACUUAAAAGUGUGCUAGAGCUGGUAGGUAGCCCAGCCGUCCUAUGUAAGUAGGGUAAGUAACCUGCCCCUCCGGGUUGUCCAAUCUUUGUUCAACAAUU